CCUACGGGUGGCUGCAGUGGGGAAUAUUGCACAAUGGGGGAAACCCUGAUGCAGCAACGCCGCGUGAGUGAUGACGGCCUUCGGGGUGUAAAGCUCUGUCUUCAGGGACGAUAAUGACAGUACCUGAGGAGAAAGCCACGGCUAACUACGUGCCAGCAGCCGCGGUAAUACGUAGGUGGAGAGCGUUGUCCGGAUUUACUGUGCUUAAGGGGAGCGUAGGAGGGCUUUUAAGUGAGAUGUGAAAUACUCGGGCUCAACUUUGGUGCGUCAUUUCAAACUGGAAGUCUAUAGUGCAGGAGAGGAGAACUGAAUUCCUAGUGUAGCGGUGAAAUGCGUAGAGAUUAGGAAGAACACCAGUGGCGAAGGCGAUUCUCUGGACUGUAACUGACGCUGAGGCUCGAAAGCGUGGGGAGCAAACAGGAUUAGAUACCCGAGUAGUC
Molecule: ribosomal RNA, 440 nt
Filed under: uncultured bacterium
Lineage: Bacteria
Description: partial 16S ribosomal RNA
Rfam family: Bacterial small subunit ribosomal RNA
Source: RNAcentral